Molecule: ribosomal RNA, 651 nt
Filed under: Bacillus subtilis
Lineage: Bacteria; Bacillati; Bacillota; Bacilli; Caryophanales; Bacillaceae
Description: bacterial SSU rRNA
Rfam family: Bacterial small subunit ribosomal RNA
Source: RNAcentral
AACGCUGGCGGCGUGCCUAAUACAUGCAAGACGAGCGAAUGGAUUAAGAGCUUGCUCUUAUGAAGUUAGCGGCGGACGGGUGAGUAACACGUGGGUAACCUGCCCAUAAGACUGGGAUAACUCCGGGAAACCGGGGCUAAUACCGGAUAACAUUUUGAACCGCAUGGUUCGAAAUUGAAAGGCGGCUUCGGCUGUCACUUAUGGAUGGACCCGCGUCGCAUUAGCUAGUUGGUGAGGUAACGGCUCACCAAGGCAACGAUGCGUAGCCGACCUGAGAGGGUGAUCGGCCACACUGGGACUGAGACACGGCCCAGACUCCUACGGGAGGCAGCAGUAGGGAAUCUUCCGCAAUGGACGAAAGUCUGACGGAGCAACGCCGCGUGAGUGAUGAAGGCUUUCGGGUCGUAAAACUCUGUUGUUAGGGAAGAACAAGUGCUAGUUGAAUAAGCUGGCACCUUGACGGUACCUAACCAGAAAGCCACGGCUAACUACGUGCCAGCAGCCGCGGUAAUACGUAGGUGGCAAGCGUUAUCCGGAAUUAUUGGGCGUAAAGCGCGCGCAGGUGGUUUCUUAAGUCUGAUGUGAAAGCCCACGGUUCAACCGUGGAGGGUCAUUGGAAACUGGGAAACUUGAGUGCAGAAGAGGAAAGUG